RNAcentral lists this non-coding RNA (121 nucleotides) under Brachypodium distachyon (stiff brome). RNAcentral describes it as "lncRNA IsrR". It matches the Rfam family "Antisense RNA which regulates isiA expression", at positions 13 to 123 of the family's 187-position model. Lineage: Eukaryota; Viridiplantae; Streptophyta; Magnoliopsida; Poales; Poaceae. The record is from Rfam by way of RNAcentral.
GGCAGCCCUUUAACACCGGGGCUAAGGGUCAAGUUGGUUAUUUUUCUUACAUCCCCCCCCCCGGGGGCCCAGGUAUCAUAUACACCGCCAAAAUAAAGAGCCUUGAGUACUAGAAGAAAAU